UCCCUGGUGGCUCAGACAGUAAAGAAUCUGCCUGCAGUGCAGGAGACCCAGGUUCGAUCCCUGGGUGGGGAA
RNAcentral lists this transfer RNA (72 nucleotides) under Bos taurus (domestic cattle). It matches the Rfam family "tRNA". Rfam says of the family: Transfer RNA (tRNA) molecules are approximately 80 nucleotides in length. Their secondary structure includes four short double-helical elements and three loops (D, anti-codon, and T loops). The record is from Rfam by way of RNAcentral. RNAcentral also lists the same sequence under 5 other names. Lineage: Eukaryota; Metazoa; Chordata; Mammalia; Artiodactyla; Bovidae.